UCAUUACCGAGUUUACACUCCCAAACCCAAUGUGAACAUACCUAUAUGUUGCCUCGGCGGACCGCCCCGGGUAAGGCUCUCGGGCCCCCCCGGAUCCAGGCGCCCGCCGCAGGACCCAAACCUCUGUUUUUGUUAAGAUUUCUCCUCUGAGUGGAUUUUACAAAUAAAUCAAAACUUUCAACAACGGAUCUCUUGGCUCUGGCAUCGAUGAAGAACGCAGCGAAAUGCGAUAAGUAAUGUGAAUUGCAGAAUUCAGUGAAUCAUCGAAUCUUUGAACGCACAUUGCGCCCGCCAGCAUUCUGGCGGGCAUGCCUGUCCGAGCGUCAUUUCAACCCUCAGGCUCCCGCGCCUGGUGCUGGGGAUCGGCCUUCACCGGCCGGCCCCGAAAUACAGUGGCGGCCCCGCCCGUGUACCUCUGCGUAGUAGCACACACCUCGCAGCUGGAAGCGGCGGCGGCCACGCCGGAAAACCCCCGACUUCUGAAAGUUGACCUCGGAUCAGGUAGGAAUACCCGCUGAACUUAAGCAUAUCAAUAAGCGGAGG
RNAcentral lists this ribosomal RNA (543 nucleotides) under Myrothecium sp. CCN22. RNAcentral describes it as "eukaryotic LSU rRNA". The stretch from base 173 to 326 matches the Rfam family "5.8S ribosomal RNA". The record is from RNAcentral. Lineage: Eukaryota; Fungi; Ascomycota; Sordariomycetes; Hypocreales; Stachybotryaceae.